RNAcentral lists this ribosomal RNA (506 nucleotides) under uncultured bacterium. Its description in RNAcentral is "bacterial SSU rRNA". It matches the Rfam family "Bacterial small subunit ribosomal RNA", at positions 9 to 510 of the family's 1533-position model. The record is from RNAcentral.
GAGUUUGAUCAUGGCUCAGAUUGAACGCUGGCGGCAGGCCUAACACAUGCAAGUCGAGCGGUAGAGAGAAGCUUGCUUCUCUUGAGAGCGGCGGACGGGUGAGUAAUGCCUAGGAAUCUGCCUGGUAGUGGGGGAUAACGGUCGGAAACGGACGCUAAUACCGCAUACGUCCUACGGGAGAAAGCAGGGGACCUUCGGGCCUUGCGCUAUCAGAUGAGCCUAGGUCGGAUUAGCUAGUUGGUGAGGUAAUGGCUCACCAAGGCGACGAUCCGUAACUGGUCUGAGAGGAUGAUCAGUCACACUGGAACUGAGACACGGUCCAGACUCCUACGGGAGGCAGCAGUGGGGAAUAUUGGACAAUGGGCGAAAGCCUGAUCCAGCCAUGCCGCGUGUGUGAAGAAGGUCUUCGGAUUGUAAAGCACUUUAAGUUGGGAGGAAGGGCAGUAAAUUAAUACUUUGCUUGUUUGACGUUACCGACAGAAUAAGCACCGGCUAACUCUGUGCCA